This 1119-nucleotide ribosomal RNA is filed under the name Pseudomonas aeruginosa. Its description in RNAcentral is "bacterial SSU rRNA". It matches the Rfam family "Bacterial small subunit ribosomal RNA", at positions 79 to 1179 of the family's 1533-position model. Lineage: Bacteria; Pseudomonadati; Pseudomonadota; Gammaproteobacteria; Pseudomonadales; Pseudomonadaceae. The record is from RNAcentral.
CUUGCUCCUGGAUUCAGCGGCGGACGGGUGAGUAAUGCCUAGGAAUCUGCCUGGUAGUGGGGGAUAACGUCCGGAAACGGGCGCUAAUACCGCAUACGUCCUGAGGGAGAAAGUGGGGGAUCUUCGGACCUCACGCUAUCAGAUGAGCCUAGGUCGGAUUAGCUAGUUGGUGGGGUAAAGGCCUACCAAGGCGACGAUCCGUAACUGGUCUGAGAGGAUGAUCAGUCACACUGGAACUGAGACACGGUCCAGACUCCUACGGGAGGCAGCAGUGGGGAAUAUUGGACAAUGGGCGAAAGCCUGAUCCAGCCAUGCCGCGUGUGUGAAGAAGGUCUUCGGAUUGUAAAGCACUUUAAGUUGGGAGGAAGGGCAGUAAGUUAAUACCUUGCUGUUUUGACGUUACCAACAGAAUAAGCACCGGCUAACUUCGUGCCAGCAGCCGCGGUAAUACGAAGGGUGCAAGCGUUAAUCGGAAUUACUGGGCGUAAAGCGCGCGUAGGUGGUUCAGCAAGUUGGAUGUGAAAUCCCCGGGCUCAACCUGGGAACUGCAUCCAAAACUACUGAGCUAGAGUACGGUAGAGGGUGGUGGAAUUUCCUGUGUAGCGGUGAAAUGCGUAGAUAUAGGAAGGAACACCAGUGGCGAAGGCGACCACCUGGACUGAUACUGACACUGAGGUGCGAAAGCGUGGGGAGCAAACAGGAUUAGAUACCCUGGUAGUCCACGCCGUAAACGAUGUCGACUAGCCGUUGGGAUCCUUGAGAUCUUAGUGGCGCAGCUAACGCGAUAAGUCGACCGCCUGGGGAGUACGGCCGCAAGGUUAAAACUCAAAUGAAUUGACGGGGGCCCGCACAAGCGGUGGAGCAUGUGGGUUUAAUUUCGAAGCAACGCGAAGAACUUACCUGGCCUUGACAUGCUGAGAACUUUYCCASAGAUGGAUUGGUGCCUUCGGGAACUCAGAMUYAUGUGCUGCAUGGCUGUCGUCARCUCGUGUCKUGAGAUGUUGGGUUWAAGUCCCGUAACGAGCGCAACCCUUUGWCMUUAGUUACCAAGCMUCYYUCGGUGGGCCACUSCUAAGAASACUGSCCUGGGUGRACAAACCGGGAGGAACGGCUGGKGGA